This 481-nucleotide ribosomal RNA is filed under the name uncultured bacterium. RNAcentral describes it as "partial 16S ribosomal RNA". It matches the Rfam family "Bacterial small subunit ribosomal RNA", at positions 28 to 523 of the family's 1533-position model. The record is from RNAcentral.
GACGAACGCUGGCGGCGUGCUUAACACAUGCAAGUCGAGCGAUGAAGUUUUUUCGGAAAUGGAUUAGCGGCGAACGGGUGAGGAACACGUGAAGAAUCUGCCCUCCACUUUGGGAUAACACAGGGAAACCUGUGCUAAUACCGAAUAUUGAAACGUAAGUGGCAUCACUGAGUUUUGAAAGAAUUUCGGUGGAGGACGACUUCGCGGCCUAUCAGCUAGUUGGUGAGGUAAUGGCUCACCAAGGCAACGACGGGUAGCCGGCCUGAGAGGGCGACCGGCCACACUGGGACUGAGACACGGCCCAGACUCCUACGGGAGGUAGCAGUGGGGAAUAUUGGGCAAUGGAGGAAACUCUGACCCAGCGACGCCGCGUGCGGGAUGAAGGCCUUCGGGUUGUAAACCGCUUUCAGUAGGGAAGAAGCGAAAGUGACGGUACCUACAAAAGAAGCACCGGCUAACUAUGUGCCAGCCGCCGCGGUAA